CCUACGGGUGGCAGCAGUGGGGAAUAUUGGGCAAUGGACGCAAGUCUGACCCAGCAACGCCGCGUGAAGGAAGAAGGCUUUCGGGUUGUAAACUUCUUUUAAUGGGGAAGAGGAUAAGACGGUACCCCUUGAAUAAGCCACGGCUAACUACGUGCCAGCAGCCGCGGUAAUACGUAGGUGGCAAGCGUUGUCCGGAUUUACUGGGUGUAAAGGGCGUGCAGCCGGGCCGACAAGUCAGAUGUGAAAUCCGCGGGCUUAACCCGCGAACUGCAUAUGAGACUGUAGGUCUAGAGUGCCGGAGAGGUAAUCGGAAUUCCUUGUGUAGCGGUGAAAUGCGUAGAUAUAAGGAAGAACACCAGUGGCGAAGGCGGAUUACUGGACGGUAACUGACGGUGAGGCGCGAAAGCGUGGGGAGCAAACAGGAUUAGAUACCCGGGUAGUC
This 442-nucleotide ribosomal RNA is filed under the name uncultured bacterium. Its description in RNAcentral is "partial 16S ribosomal RNA". It matches the Rfam family "Bacterial small subunit ribosomal RNA", at positions 338 to 795 of the family's 1533-position model. The record is from RNAcentral.